RNAcentral lists this ribosomal RNA (297 nucleotides) under Triticum aestivum (bread wheat). RNAcentral's name for it is "partial small subunit ribosomal RNA". The record is from RNAcentral. Lineage: Eukaryota; Viridiplantae; Streptophyta; Magnoliopsida; Poales; Poaceae.
AUGGACGCGUCGGGCGAGCUGCAGUGCGUGGGGUGGCUGGAGAUCGCCGCGCCGCCGCCGGCGCGCUACCUCCGCAUGGGCUCCCUCCCGGUCCCCACCGACGACUCCGCCUACCUCCCCGCCCUCCUCCCCUCCGCUUCCCCGACUGGGACUGGAGCUCCAAGGUAUCAAAUGCUGCCACUGGAGACUGACCUCAACACACUCCCCGUGAUUCCAAACCUCCCGGAGAAGGUUUUCCCAACGGAUGCGAAGAGUACUGAAGGUGACCUCUGUCGAGCCUUCGUUGUUAUAGUUUGA